This 1842-nucleotide long non-coding RNA is filed under the name Homo sapiens (human). RNAcentral's name for it is "HSALNT0072484". The record is from RNAcentral. Lineage: Eukaryota; Metazoa; Chordata; Mammalia; Primates; Hominidae.
CACCCAGCAGGAAAUAGUCCUUUUCAAUAGAACCCUAGAGUGGAGAAACAGCAUUCUCUAACAGUUAAUGAAAAUGUUCACCAUUAAUUAAUUGGCUGGUCUUAUAUAUUUAAAUUUUCAUAAAUAAAUAAAAAAUAAAAUAUAGGUCAGGCACAGUGGCUCAUGCCUAUAAUCCCAGCACUUUUGGGAGGCCAAGGCGGACGGAUCACGAGGUCAGGAGAUCAAGACCAUCCUGGCUAACAUGGUAAACCCGUCUCUACUAAAAAUACAAAAAAUUAGUGGGGCGUGUAGCACAUGCCUGUAAUCCCAGCUACUCAGGAGGCUGAGGCAGGAGAAUUGCUUGAACCCGGGAGGCGGAGGCUGCAGUGAGCCGAGAUCUUGCCACUGCAUUCCAGCCUGGGCAACAGAGCGAGACUCCACCUCAAAAAUAAAUAAAUAAAUUAAUUAAAUAAAAUACAAUGUAAUGCACAUGUAGUAGGGUUUCUUUCCAUAGGAUGCCUGACAGUGGUUACAUUUUAGUAAGACUAUAUCGGUGUAGGCUAUGAUUAAAAAAUAUAUCAUCUUGGAAUUGUUGCGCCACCCACAUCCUUAUUGGGUAGGGGGUUAAAUAAGUAGCUUCAGUUGUCCUUCAAGAAAGGUAUCAGGAAAGCUCCUAUAGUUUUUUAAUUGCUUUUUUUAAGGGAGUUAGUCACCAAUGAGGACUAGAAGGAUGAUGGCUCUAAACCCUCAAGGUGGUGAAAACUGGAGCCAGCCUCGAUUUAGCACGCCUGAGCACGGAUCCCAGGAGGUAGAUGUGUGUGGAAACAGAAAUACCAGAUCCCAUGAGAAUCAGACACCUAGAGCCUAGCCUGGCAGCACCUGAAGGCCCUUGGAUCAGGGUGACACUGGGGCAGGCUAGAAAGGUCUCACUCUGGCCCAGAUUCUGAUGCUUUGCUGACACCACUGUGCCAGUUCGCCAAUGCUCUAUCUCCAUUUAUGUUACAUCUUCUGCCAAAUAGCUUUGCUGCCUUGCCCCUGAACCACUGCAUGCUCAGCAGCUGGUGCUUCAGCAUCCUGCAGCUGUAGCCCAGAAGUCCUCACUGCCUCAUAUGUUGAGAUGACUGAAUUUGGCCAGGAGUCCUUCCUGUGAGAAAGCCCUGGAGUGUGGGCAGCCCAUCCUAGAAAAUAAACAAAGCAGCUUUCAGCAAUGAGGGACACACAGCCAGUUUUGCUACAUUCACCCUUCUGGCUCUGUCUUCAGCCUAAGCUGCUCCUUUCAGGUCCCUCCCUUGGGACCUCAAGCCUCCCUUUCAGGCCCCUUUUAAGCACAGCAAAUCCUGUAUGCAUUAAGGGGAGGUAGUUGAAGUUUGGGCUUCUGGGUUUUAUGUUAUUACUGGCUUCUGAAAGCUCAAACAUUUGCACUCCAGGGAUGAUAGUUGCAUCUGUUAAAUUUAGUGUAAAGCUGCCUCCUUACAUAUUUUAAGUUAGGCCUAAAGGUUUCCCCAUACAUGGUGAACUGUAGCCUAAUUGGGUAUGUAAACAGACUGUAACCUAUUCUUGUACCAAUCACAGAGUUCUGGCCAAUCACAAGUGGCCAACUGUUCAAACCGUGUUCAAAUAGGGCAAACCUGAGCUACAACCAAUCCAGCUGUUUCUGUCCCUCAAUUAUGUUUUCUGUAAGUCACUUUAUUUUUUCCGACCACUCGGCAAGACUGGAGCCUCUCUGAACUUACUUUGAUUUGGGGUCUUUUUGAUUUGCAGAUCAUUCUUUGGGUUCUUUGCUUGAUUAAACGCUGUUAAGUUUAAUUUGUCUAAGGUUUUUCUUUUAACACACCCCAAACUGUAAGUGGAGGCAUCCUACUU